Molecule: RNA transcript, 4341 nt
Organism: Mus musculus (house mouse)
Lineage: Eukaryota; Metazoa; Chordata; Mammalia; Rodentia; Muridae
Gene name: predicted gene 1995
Exons: 1
Source: RefSeq, marked provisional
CCAGUGUCCCCAAACAUGGCCUCUCAAGAUACUGGUGUUCCCAUGGAGAGUAAAACCAAAAAGAAGAAAACUGGUACUCCAGCCAGCCUCUGCCACAAGGGCAGGGUCCGAAGGAAAGAAAAAAGAAAGAAAGAGGAAGACCCAGCCAGGCCCAGAGGGAAGGAAAAGGUUUGUGCAGACAAGAAACUGCCUGCUAGUAGCCCCAGGGGCAAGGCCCAGGGGCCUAAAGGAACCAAGAAAAAGUCAUCCUCUGUGACCACAGUGGCCAGCCCAGGGAAAGGGGGGAUGGGCUGCACUUCCAACACAGGGCCCCAAGACUCUAGGCAUGGUCCUGGUGCACCACUGACCUGGAAAGUUGGCAGUACAAGGAAGAUGCCUUUGGGCAAGUUGGUGGAACAGAAGGCCCGCUCCCUGAAUGAAGGAGCCCCCCAGGACACUCCUAAGCUCAAAAAACGGAACCUGAGACACACAGAGCUAUUUGGGGCUGAAAGCAAGGAGGAGGACUCAGGACUGGGAGCGGGAGCACCCCAGGUCUGGUCCCCGACCCUGCCCAACAUGAGCUCAGACUCAGAAUCAGACUCCAACUCCAGCCUGGGGCUGGAAGAGAUGAAAUUUCGCAAUUGUCUCAAGGCCUUGCCACCUGUGCCCCCUGCAACGCCCUCCCCAUUGUCCUCUUCAUUCUCCUCCUCGCCGUCCUCAGGAGCCAGCCAGUGUGCAGAGGAGGAUGUGGACUACUCGGCUCUGGAGAAGGAGGUGGACUUCCAUGUGGACCCUAUGGAGGAGUGCCUGCGGAUUUUCACCGAGUCCACCAGCGUGAAGAUGGACGACAAGGACCGGCUGGCCCAGCAGCCACCCAAGGAGAAGGAUGAGGAAAAGAUGCAUGCGGGCCUGACCACUUCAUUCCCAGGGCAGAAGAGGAAGGUCUCAUACCUUUGCAAGCCAGGCAAAGGGGCAGAGGCCCCAAAGAAGACCCCUGUGGCUCCUGCAGCACAGCCCGCAACUGCUCAGGAGGUGUGGUACCUGCGAGCACAGCAAGCACUAAGGGAGUUGGCCAGUUGGCUACAGGCCGCCCCAGGGCCAACUGCGGGGCUUUCCUCUGUGCACAUCUCAGUGCCAGGGGAGAAGAGAAGGAUUGUUCACAUACCCAACUCCCAACUGGCUGCUGCCCUCACAGGUUCCAAGAGGGUGCUCCCUGCCAUCAGCAGCCAGGUUUCCUACAGUCCCAAACCUGGCAGUCAGCCACUGAAGACACCCACGCUGUCAGGGAUGGCAUCUACGAUAACAACCACCUUCACCCCCAAACGCAUCGUCCACAGCUCACUCCAGAGUCUAAAGAAGCCUGUUAUCCCGAAAGAAUUUGGCUGCAAGGUCCCCACUGUGGUCCGCCAAGGUUAUCUCCACCUGUUCAUUGAGGAGUUUCUCAAGUUCUGUUCGUCCAAACAGGAGGCCAUUGAGAAGGCCCUGAAUGAGGAAAAGGUGGCAUAUGACCUCAGUUCCAGCAAGAACAUAUACCUGAAUGUGGCCGUGAACAUCCUUAAGAAGCUAAGGGGGCUGGCCUCCAACACCAUGCUCAACCUCAGCAAAGCCAGUGGCCGCAGGGUUGUGUCCCAUGAGGUUGUACUGGGGGGCAAAUUGGCAGCUAAAACCAGCUUCUCACUGAACAGCCCCAGCAGCCAGCAGGUAGAGGAGCUGAGAGCACUGAUACCCAGUGCCUCUGCAGGGUAUACCCUGUACUGCCACCUUAGGGAGUACUUACUCACUCAGGAGCAGCUGAAGGAGAAUGGCUACCCCUUCCCCCACCCAGAGCGUCCAGGGGCUGCAGUCAUCUUCACUGCCAAGGAGAAGAAGCCCAAGGACCCCUCCCGCAGAAUUUGCCAUCGCUGUGGCAUUGAGUUCCCUGUGUCCUCUGCGGGCCUCUGUGUGAGCAGUGCAGAGUGUUACUACCACUGCGGGAGGCUGCAGCUGAAUCGAGUGGCAGGGGGCUGGGAGUCCCAGUAUGUGUGCUGCUCAGCUUUGGUUGGCUCUGUAGGCUGUCAGGUCGCCAAGCAACAUGUGCUCGAUGGCCGGACAGAGAACCUGGAGGGUUUUGUGCGCACUUUCCAGAAGGAGUUGCCCAAAGAUGCCCAUGCGGGGGUCUUUGCUCUCGACUGUGAGAUGUCCUACACUACAUAUGGCCUGGAGGUGACCCGAGUCACAGUCGUGGACACAGACCUACAAGUCAAGUAUGAUACCUUUGUCAAGCCUGACAAUGAAGUUGUCGACUACAAUACCAGGUUCUCGGGGGUGACAGAGGCCGACCUUGUGGACACAAGCAUCACGCUGCGGGACGUACAGGCUGUCUUGCUGAGCAUGUUCAGUGCAGACACCAUCCUCAUUGGACACAGCCUGGAGAGCGACCUACUGGCUCUCAAAGUCAUCCACUGCACUGUGGUAGACACAGCUGUGCUGUUCCCACAUCACCGGGGCCUGCCCUAUAAGCGCUCCCUGCGGAACCUCAUGGCUGACUACCUCAGACAGAUCAUCCAAGACAAUGUGAAUGGGCACAGCUCCAGUGAGGAUGCCAGUGCCUGUAUGCAGCUUGUCAUCUGGAAGAUCCGAGAAGACGCCAAGACCAAGCCAAGACUCCCACCCAACACUACCAUACCAUCCCCCUUCUUCCAACCCUUGCUGCCCUUAGCCGGAAUCCCUUAGCCCAGAUGCACUUGGCCUCUUUUCAAUUUGUUCAAUAAAAAGUGAUAGCUGACCACAUGCCUCCAGAGCUUUUGCUUCAGGUCUGCAGUGAGGGCCCAAAGGUGGGACUAAGAACAACCCUCAGUUGAACUCCACACCCAUCCAACAUGUCACCUACUCCUCCCCCAGUCCUGUCCCAUGGAGCCUGCUGCAGCCCAGGGCAGAGUUGGCCUAGCCUCUGUGUCGCAUUUAGGCACCCCUACUCCUACCCCAGACCACCGCUCCAGACAGUGGGCUCUGCCUUCUGUUCCUUUGUAUAUAAGGCAGACAACAGGACAAGCCCUCAUGGUUUGACACAGGGGUUGUCUCUUUUUAUUUUACACUAUUAUUUUUAUUAAUUUUUAAUUUAAACCUGCUAGCCUGCACACAUCCUCCUCAUUUGAGGGGUCCAAUUCUGGGGCUGCUUGGAUCCAGGGGCCGGACCCCUCAUAGUCAGUCCCAUGGGCCUGCAUUUUGCCCUGCCUUGUGGGAUAACUUCCAGAACUCACCCCAGCCCGUCAGGUCUCUCCAACCUCAGAGCCAAGCCAGCCUUUUGGCCUGGACUUCCAGGGACUCUGGGUUGUCAUCCUGCAGGCUACUGCCUCCCUCUGUGAGUAGGAACAGAAGUAAAUAAAUGUUUGUAUGAACUUUAGAUUUCAUAGUGUGUGGUUCUUUGGGGACAGACAGGAUCUGAUGCCUGCCUAUGUGGCCCCUGUCCCAGUGGCCAGGGUCAAGAAAAAUGCAAAUGAUUCCCUUGCCAAAAGCAACUCUCACCCUGUGGGUGGGCCCAUGCUACCCAGAUGUGGGAAAUUUGUGAGGCAGCCCCAAGCUCUGGGUAGGCUGUGCCUGCCAGCCCUCCCCUAAAGGCACCUUGCUGUUGUCCCUGGUGCAGGCUGAUGGCAUGCCUACACUCCUUUUUGCCUGUUAUGAUCUGUUACUCAGACAAGUUCCAGGGUGGAGACUGGGAGCCCUUGCUGCCAGGUGUCCUGAGAAAGGGCCUGACCAUCAAGGCCACUCUGUCCCCAUGUCAGGAAACAAGUUUUGUAGCACUCAUUAGAUAGGUGACCUUGGCUUUAUUGGCAGCCUCUAGUCAUUUAUCUGUGGGCAGAGUAGGCUGGCUGGAGUUAGACCCUUGCAGGAUAGCUGGGUUGUGAUGGUCAGGGUCCUGUGAGAACCCAGUCCAAAUGUUCCCUCAAGCCACUUGGAGGGGCUGCAAGUCUAUGGCCAGAGCAGAUUCCAUGGGCUAUCCACAUAGUGGGGAUGCAGGGGCUAUCCACAUUGUGGGCAUGCAGGGGCUAUCCACAUAGUGGGAAUGAAGGGGCUAUCCACAUAGUGGGAAUGCAGGGGCUAUCCGCAUAGUGCGUAUGCAGGUGCUAUCCACAUAGUGGGAAUGCAGGGGCUAUCCACAUAGUGGGUAUGCAGGGGCUAUCCACAUAGUGGGAAUGCAGGGGCUAUCUACAUAGUGGGCAUGCAGGGGCUAUCCACAUAGUGGGUAUGCAGGGAGCUGCAAGGGCUAAGGGAGCUUCCUUGGCUAAGCCAGACAAGUACCCACAGGAGAUUUCCUUGAGUACUUUGUCCCCUCUUCUACCAUCUGUAAACAAGUUUUUAAAAACAUAGAUGAAUGGUACCAAU